AAUGGGGGCAACCCUGAUCCAGCGAUGCCGCGUGAAUGAAGAAGGCCUUCGGGUUGUAAAAUUCUUUCAGCAGUGAGGAUGAUGACGUUAACUGCAGAAGAAGCCCCGGCUAACUCCGUGCCAGCAGCCGCGGUAAUACGGAGGGGGCUAGCGUUGUUCGGAAUUACUGGGCGUAAAGGGUAAGUAGGUGGAUAUAUAAGUUAGACGUGAAAGGCCUGGGCUCAACCUAGGGAGUGCGUUUAAAACUGUAUAUCUAGAGUAUAAGAGAGGAAAGCAGAAUUCCCAGUGUAGAGGCGAAAUUCGUAGAUAUUGGGAGGAAUACCGGUGGCGAAGGCGGCUUUCUGGCUUGAUACUGACGCUGGGGUACGAAAGCGUGGGGAGCAAACAGGAUU
RNAcentral lists this ribosomal RNA (392 nucleotides) under uncultured beta proteobacterium. RNAcentral's name for it is "bacterial SSU rRNA". It matches the Rfam family "Bacterial small subunit ribosomal RNA", at positions 370 to 779 of the family's 1533-position model. The record is from RNAcentral. Lineage: Bacteria; Pseudomonadati; Pseudomonadota; Betaproteobacteria.